GCAGUAGAAAGGUGAUCAAUCUUCAUCAGGCUACAUUUCCAAUCACCUAAACAACCGAGCGAGACAAGCCACUCCGACAAGGUUGGCUGCCCGGAGGGUCUUGCUGAGGGCGCGAGGUAGAUGGUGAGCAGCCCCGGCAGCGGAGGGCAGGCCAGGCCCCCAGAAGCAACAGCUUGAAGGACUUCGAAGUGGGAGCCCUGAAUUGCUCCUGGCCUCGGGCCCCC
Microtus ochrogaster (prairie vole) is the source of this 224-nucleotide long non-coding RNA. RefSeq lists it as uncharacterized. The transcript is spliced from 3 exons. NCBI's taxonomy places the organism in Eukaryota, Metazoa, Chordata, Mammalia, Rodentia, Cricetidae. The record is from RefSeq and is a predicted model, not a curated record.